RNAcentral lists this ribosomal RNA (405 nucleotides) under uncultured bacterium. RNAcentral describes it as "partial 16S ribosomal RNA". It matches the Rfam family "Bacterial small subunit ribosomal RNA", at positions 30 to 525 of the family's 1533-position model. The record is from RNAcentral.
AUUGAACGCUGGCGGCAGGCCUAACACAUGCAAGUCGAACGAGUGGCGGACGGGUGAGUAAUGUCUGGGAAACUGCCCGCUGGAGGGGGAUAACUACUGGAAACAGUAGCUAAUACCGCAUACCAUCGGAUGUGCCCAGAUGGGAUUAGCUAGUAGGUGGGGUAAUGGCUCACCUAGGCGACGAUCCCUCGCUGGUCUGAGAGGCUGACCAGCCACACUGGAAUUGAGACACGGUCCAGACUCCUAGGGGAGGGAGCAGUGGGGAAUAUGGCACAAGGGGCGAAAUCCUGAUGCAGCAAUGCCGGGUGUAUGAAGAAGGCCUGCGGGUUGGAAAGUACUUUCAGCGAGGAGGCGUUACUCGCAGAAGAAGCACCGGCUAACUCCGUGCCAGCCGCCGCGGUAAUA